Long non-coding RNA from Leucoraja erinaceus (little skate), 516 nucleotides. RefSeq lists it as uncharacterized. NCBI's taxonomy places the organism in Eukaryota, Metazoa, Chordata, Chondrichthyes, Rajiformes, Rajidae. The record is from RefSeq and is a predicted model, not a curated record. The transcript is spliced from 2 exons.
UCCGCACAGGGGCCCCGGCCACCGGCCAGCUUGACGCUCCGGGAUCUCGUGACCAGGUUCUCCAGGAGCCCCGGGCCUCUGGGCAGCUUCGCGUUCCGGGAUCUCGUGACCAGGUUCUCCAGGAGCCCCAGGCCUCUGGGCAGCUUCGCGCUCCGGGAUCUCGUGACCCGAUUCUCCAGGAGCCCCGGGCUCUGGGCAGCUUCGCUCUCCGGGAUCUCGUGACCCGAUUCUCCAGGAGCCCCGGGCCUCUGGGCAGCUUGGCGCUCUGGGCUCCCCGGGACACGGACUCUGCGUCCGAGAUCUCCCCGGGCGAGCGGGCUCCUCGCGAACCGGACUCCGGGCGCUUCCGGCCGGCCACUGCCCUUCAUUUACGCUGCUUGGACCGCGAGUACUAGACUCGACAACGCCCACUGGAACCUCCGCAGACUUCAUUCACCCUUUUGUACUUCGUCCCGAACGGUUAUUUUGUAUUGUGUUGUCAAAUGUUUUUGAAAUACAUGCCAUGCCUUUUCUAAA